CCCGCCACUAUAGCAGUCUGAUGUGACUGUGUAUAAUCCAGUGGUGAGCUAAGAGAAGAUCCCACCUUUAGGAAACAGGUUCCCUCCACCUGUGAGGGACUCUGUGCCGCAAGGAUGGGGACACAU
Small nucleolar RNA from Bufo bufo (common toad), 126 nucleotides. RefSeq annotates it as small nucleolar RNA SNORA65. The record is from RefSeq and is a predicted model, not a curated record. The transcript has a single exon. NCBI's taxonomy places the organism in Eukaryota, Metazoa, Chordata, Amphibia, Anura, Bufonidae.